GGGGUCUUAUGAAAGAAGAAAAAUCUUACGAGGAAGAGUUCGAGAAUGCUUCUCGACAAUUUUAUAGCUGCAAGAAAAGGCGAGAUGAAGCAAGGGAUCAUGAAAUAUCAAGUUGAAAAAUAUUCCAUCAAUCCAAAAGAAACACGAUCAUAAAUCGUAUCUUGGAGGGGAGUGGGAUAAUUGGAUCUAUGAAGAGAAUCAGUCAUUGCCAAUGCAACAACUAGAAGACACCGUCACUCUCAACCAGAAAGCCACCGUUUGAAUCCAAAGAAGAUGAAUGUUGAAGUGGAAGUCGUGGCGUAUAUCAAUGAAGAGGCAUGUUUGAAUCCAAAGGAGUUGGUGGAAGUUGAUAUCACCUCGGUUGAUGUCAAAGAUGAUGAGUCUACUCCUAAGUUGCUAAAAUUGAAGGAUUCAAGUGACGAAGUGCUUGAGGAAUCUACUCCAACUACUUUGGAAGCAAAGGCUUUGGCGCAAGCUAAGGGCGUUGAAAAGGAGCAGCCCAUAGAUAAAAAGGAGAUUGGGUUUAUGCAGAAGUCAUUUCUUCAAGGGCUUGUGAUUGGAUGUGGGCCGUGAAGGAGGAGAGGCUGAUCAUUGUGUUGCGGUUCAAGGUUCAAGAGAAGUCAGAGUUAGAGCCGAAGAAGAAGAAUAAUGCACAAGGAGAAAAGCUAUGGUCCAACAGUCAAUUAAUGCAAGGAACGAAAAUUUGAUUUUUGAUCCCGGCAUUUGGAUUGACGACUUGGAUUUGAGGACAAAUCCCUUUCAAGAGGAGGGGAAUGAUGCAUGCCAUGGAGGCCCAAGUUACGUUGCAUAUGUGGGCUGAUUUAAUAGAGUCUUUUAUUUUGUUUUAUCUUAUAAUUUUCGUGGGUUAUGUUAGGGUGGCUGAAAUUAGGCCUUAGUUGAGUCAAUUUUGAGUUUUAUACCUUGUUUUGACUAAGGAUAUGUUUCCUUAUUAGAUUAGGAGUUAUUUUCCAUGUUUAUUUCCUAGUUUGGUAGGUUUUCGCAUACCUUAUUUGUAGUCUUUAUGAUGGACGAAAAUUAGGGCUUCUUGUUGUAGUUAGUUGUUUCCUUUUAGAUUAGGUCUUUUUUGCCUAUAUAUAGGCCUUCUUUUGACGAAUAUACAAUUUUAUCAAAAUUCGUGAGUUAUAUUCUCUCUUAGAUUCGAAUUUCUCUUGUACCAAGAGAGUUCAUUUAUCCGGCGUAACGGCGAGUCAACCAUCCCUCGUCGCGUGUCAUUCAUCGUCCCCGAGUUGCUGCGUCAACUUCACGUUGGGGUUUAGGGAUUCGUUCGCCUAAAUCAUUCCGUGGGUUAGAUUCAGAGGUUUUGGGAUUCCAUCUUCUGUUCGUUUUUCAAGUCUUCCGUUUGCGUAGUGUUCGAUUGAUCGGCAAGGAUCAUAUCAUUUGGCACCAGAGCCGCGUUUCGUAUCCAGAUUUUCGCAGGAAAUCAAGUUCUGGCAGUCUCCGAAAAACGGCCAUAACUUUCUGUACAGAGCUCGGAUUAAGGCGAAACAGGUGGCCACAGAAAGCUCUCUCGAAGACGAAGAAGUCGUAUUUCUGGGCAAAAUACGAUUGGAGGACGUUUGAUGCUUAAAACGAAGGGUUGAAGUUGGCUGACCUGUUCAGCGACGAAUUGAUAAAUUCCUAGGAAUUCUUCAGGAGUAUGACUGGAGUCGAUUUGCCUACAUAUAUGGUGGAAGAGCUGCAGAGAAUCAUAGAGAAUGCGUUUAAGCCUAUUCAUGAGAGGUUAGAGCAAUCUCAACGGAGACCGGAUCAGAAUUUUCUUCAGUCAAUUAGGCGUCCUCGAAGGGGUCUUAUGAAAGAAGAAAAAUCUUACGAGGAAGAGUUCGAGAAUGCUUCUCGACAAUUUUAUAGCUGCAAGAAAAGGCGAGAUGAAGCAAGGGAUCAUGAGAAUAUCAAGUUGAAAAAUAUUCCAUCAAUCCAAAAGAAACACGAUCAUAAAUCGUAUCUUGGAGGGGAGUGGGAUAAUUGGAUCUAUGAAGAGAAUCAGUCAUUGCCAAUGCAACAACUAGAAGACACCGUCACUCUCAACCAGACAAGCCACCGUUUGAAUCCAAAGAAGAUGAAUGUUGAAGUGGAAGUCGUUGCGUAUAUCAAUGAAGAGGCAUGUUUGAAUCCAAAUGAGUUGGUGGAAGUUGAUAGAGAGGUUGAUGUCAAAGAUGAUGAGUCUACUCCUAAGUUGCUAAAAUUGAAGGAUUCAAGUGAC
This 2221-nucleotide long non-coding RNA is filed under the name Salvia miltiorrhiza (redroot sage). RNAcentral's name for it is "long non-coding RNA (SMIL_LNC007068)". Lineage: Eukaryota; Viridiplantae; Streptophyta; Magnoliopsida; Lamiales; Lamiaceae. The record is from RNAcentral.